CUUAACAUGCUAUGUCUUAUCCUGUUAAAAAAAAGUCAGUCAAGAAAACUAAGGGGUUAUAAUAGAUAAGCCUGAAGAUCUUUAACUAUAGUUAUAAUAUAUGGCAUAUCAAGCAGAGAGAUCAUGAUCUCUGCAAAAACCUCUCCAGCAAUAACUUGAAGCUAAAGAGGAACAAGAGCAACUGAUUGGCAUUUUGUUACUUGAGUGAUGGCCCCACUGAUGAGGCAGAAAGGCCAUUAAGGAUGAUCUUUUAUGCUGUCUAAAAUCUGCCAGAUGUCAAACUUAAACCUGUGAAAGUUAUAAUGCAUUAAAUAUAUAUAUGUGUAUAUAUAUAUAUAUAUAUAUAAAUGCCCAGACUCAGAAACCAAUACCUUUCCUAGGCAACUGAGAUUUACAUAUAUUUCUUCCUUUUUACUACUUGCCUGACAUAUUCUUCAUCAUAUUGUCUCCUUUAUUCUCCUACAAAUCAAAGAAUCAUAUUCAUUUAUAUGUAAUAUAAGCUUACUGCCACAAUACAAAUGUGUUGCAUUAAAAAUUAAAAAUAUUAUUUUUUACACUCCAUCAAGAUGAAAAGUGAGCCUUCAUUUUCUUUUGCAGUUUUGUUUCUACACUAUCAUCCUUCUUGUAUUGUACCGCAGGACAUGAUCACUAAUAGACAGCCAAAUUUUGACGGUCCUUAAAGUACGUCAGCUAUGCUCUGUACUUGAAUCCACUUGACAGCAAAUACAAAAGAAUUUUCAAAGGGUUUCCUGUUUACCAAAGACUGACUUCGGACUGUCCCUGUGUGUGUCGUUACCUUGAGGUUGAAACUUUGAAGAAAAAUUAUUCACUCAAAAUGCAACACAGAUUUUAAGGGAUGUUAACAGCAGUCACUACUUCCAGCAACUCCAUGCCCAGGAAUUCUUCCUGCCCUGCUGCUGGAGCCCAGCCCAGGACACCAGGAACCAUGAGGUGUCUCUCUGUGAGGGACAUAACUCCUAUUUUUUUUUCAGGUUUACCCAGUAGUGAAGCUCAGCAUAUGUCCCACAUACAUGCAUAGUCAGGUGCAUGGACUACCACAGACAAGGUACUGCAUUCAACAGCACCUGUAUAUGACAUUUGUUUAAAACGUAAGUACAGAAAACCAAGUCACUUUCCUCCUCUUUUUCUGGUAGAGACUGAACUUCAUGAGUGAAAGCACACAUGCACUGUGCUCCAGAUUCAUAAGAUUCACAAGAACAUGCACGUUCAUGGAUCACCCUGAGUACUGGCACACCAUGAUCCCUCCAUCCAUCCAAUAGCACUACCUGCAUCCCAUAUAAACCACUUCCCAGGUCUCCUAUUCUGCAAGUUCAGCCUGAUGCUCAACAGCAUGUAGAGGUACACACACUUGUCUCAUAGGCACCUCAUACUCAGGUUUUCCUGCAAUACCAGCACACACCCUCUGCCCUGAUACUCAUUGCUUGAUCAAAGACCACCUACUCCCUGGCUAGUCCAGCAUGAAACUUACUAGAGAAUGAGUCAUGUAAACUUCAUCACACACCAUUUUGUGGCAAAUACGAAUACUUGCCCACCUCCAGCAGCAGGCGGUAGACACAGGGACUGUGAUGUGUGGUUCCUCUCUGGACACUGACAUUGAGUCCCUCACUUGCCUUACUCACACCUGUCCCCCCAGCAGCUGUUUUUCAGGACACACACCAUUCCCCCCCCCGCCUUCCCCAAAACUGGCAGCAGAGAUCACCACCCAUUCCAGUAGCUGCCACUGAGACCACCCGUUCUUUCCAGUUGCUGGCACCACAGAUCAGAGUCCCCUUUGCCCCCACUCUGCCUUCAGUUGAUUGCACUAAAUCCACUCAUGUCAGUCCACCCAAUAGCUGGCAUUCUGGAGAUGAAAUCUGCAAGACCUAACAAGACCACCUGGAGAGCUGUCUUUUGACAAUUCUUUUUUGAUUUCUGUGCCCUGAACAAAACUGUAAUAGUUUUCAAUACAGAAUAUACCCAAAUACAACUUCAGUCUUAACAUUUUUUCACAUUUUAAAUACAGAGAUCUGCUUUAGGUUGUUUUCAUGCCAUUAUCCAAUAUCCUAGUACUCGUAGAAUUAAGGUUGUAAGAGAGAGGUGCUGUGAAAUUUCCACAGAGACAAGACCUGAUGGAUAAUUCCUUUGUAACUAAGACGACAAUUUUGCUAUGAUUCCUGCCAAAAGAUCCUUUCAUAUUUUAGACUCAAGAACUUUGGAUUGGGCUGAGAGGUCUGUCUGGAAAAAUCAGGGCAAGAAAGCUGCCAAAAUUUGAAAGAAGUGUUAAGAUCAUUUGGCCACCUCAAAAGCUCUACUCCUGACUUUCUUCUCCCACUCCUUUCUGUGAAGAAGAAAUCAUAGCUGAAGUGCUAAGAGCUGCAAUAGGAAAAUUGCAUCUCUUAAAACAUUUUAAUCUUUCCACCCCCUAACUGCAAACUGCCAAACAACAGAUUGCAAAGCAGCUUUGACUACUGUGCUUACAAGUUCCAUACAUUUGCCUGUUAAGUUCAGGAUGGAAAGGUAGCCUGAAAGCUGACAGUAUUUUCUGUUUAUUUUUGAGAUUCAUCUGUUUUAAGAAAGACUGAUAUAACAUGGAAAGAAUGAAAACAAAAAAAAUGAAAAAAAAUGUUGUUAGCCAAGAGCAAACAAAUUACAUAUGCAUGCUACACAAAUCAGGCACACAUCACGAGUCCCUCCUUAAAUGAAUUCAGUGCUGCCAGACUGAUGGAAUAUAUGCACUGCAGAGAGAAUUGUCAGACUGCUGGUAUCUUAGAUCUGCUUAUCUCAGCUCUGGACUAGCUAUUCAGCUCUGUUUUAUGCCUUUUAGUGUAUCUUAGCUCUGAACUGAAGAGAUUGCUCAUGAGAUUUCUGUUUGUGCUGCUUGCUUCUUGGAUCUCUCUAAUAAAAUUUUCAACAAAAAUGUCAACUAGAGCAGCUUUUCUGAAUUACAUUUUCAGUCCAAGAAGGAACUAAAUGUUGUACAUUCUGUUCCAAAAUUCUUUUAGUUUUGGAUUAAGGAAAACAACAAAGUCAAUAUUUGUAGGUGGAAAAGUGAGAACAAGACACACAUUUUGUCUUUGAUAAUGUAAUAACUGACUGAGAUAACUGAAGGAAACUUCCUUUUAGUCCUUCUGCAACUGGUACAGUGAUCAAGGAGGUCUAGAAAUCUAACUUUCUCUGGAAGCUUCACCUUGGAGAUCACCCUUGCAGAACCAGUAGCACAAAGUACAUUGAGGGCAUAUUCCUUACAUUUUGAUCAGAAGGAUUAUGCCAUGUUAUUGUUUAUGUAUAUUGCCUUUUCAGUUCUUGGAUUUAGGGAAGAAAGAGACACUAGUGGCAAACUAUUAAUCAAUCUUAUUAAUCAAGUCAGCAAUCCCUAAAGAUGAGCAUAGAACUUUUUUCUUUUAAGUUUAGUAAUAAAUUGAUACCAAUACAUAUGAAAUAAGAUUAAUUUCCUUUUGAUAUUCCGCUUGAGUGGCCAUGAGUAGAAUGAAUUUACAUUAAGAGGUUUGGUCAAAAAUUACGUUAACAACACAUGGAGCUGAAGCUGAGCUGAAUGACUGACCCAAGCAGGAGUUACAUAAACAAGGAAAAGUAGUUCCAUAAGCCUAAGGGAAUAAAAAAGCCUCACUCUGAAUUUAGAACUAGUUGAGAGAUAGGAAAUAAACUGUGCUAAUAAAGUGAUUAUUGACAAAGAUUCUGAUAGAUUGCUAAAGAAUUUCAGUGGGUCAGUUUGGCUAUUAAUCCAGAGUAGAGGUUAACCUCAAAACACCCUGUUGUUCAGACUGUGUUACCUUAUAUUGGUCUGCCAAAAUGGGGGAGGACUGCAGAAUAAUUCUUGAAGAUCAAAUGAAACAAGAGGAAAGAGCUCAGCUGUUGUAAUUUAUUCAUUAUAAUGCAGUUUAUUAUAGGUGGUUUCAAACUAAUAUAUGUUUAGAUUUCUGGCAUAGAAAUUAAUUCAAAAUUCUAGGGAAUAGAAUAUGUUUUAUAUACAAUAAGCUUUGGGAUCUACAGUACAGAAAAAAUACAAUAUUUGAUUUCCACUCCAAUAAUAGAUAGGUUGCAUAAUACAUAAAUAUAAUCUAUUUAAUAUAAAAUAUAUUGUAAGGAUAUACAAUACUAAUGAAAUUAAAACCCUGUAGUACACUUCUGUUUCUAACUUUUCAUUAAAAACCAUAAUAACUAAUGGCAAAUUAUGUCAAGUUUAUUGUCUUUAAAAAAUCAUAAAUAAUAAGACAUAAUAAAUGUAAUUCUUAAAAGUAUGUUGAUAAUCUCAUACAUUCACAAGGUAUUCAUCACAUACUUAGAAGAUGUUUUAUUAUCAUCAUUUUUAUUCAUGUUAAGGAAGGACUUUUUCAUGACUCUUGCAAAUUUGCAGUAUGUUUUUAUCAUCAACUUGCAAAAUCUUCUACAGAAGCACCUCUUUUUACUGAGUAUAUUCAACACAUUCAAGGCUUUAUGCAUAGCAAAAGCUGCUCAGAGUUCUAAAAAAUUCUCCCUGUCUUUGUUGCAGUUAUCUAUCAUCAUCAUUGUCAUCACAAGUCAUCUGCUAACACUUCACUUCAAGAGGAAUUUUACAUUUCUCAUCUUUAAAGUUCAGAAUCCUGUGAUCUUAUAAUGCUCUCAUGCUGAUAAUGCACUUCAGUAAUUGUGCUAUAUAGCAAACAUUUCUGUGUGCAAGUUUUAAAUACUUAUUCAGCUGAAUAACAUCAAAAAUCAGAGGCUCUGUUUAAAAUACCAGCAUGUUCUUUUUAUUAAUAUCACAGGAAUGAGACUGGCAUUAUUACCAAUGCAUAAUAAAUGAGACAGAGUAACUGCAAGGCACAUUGCCCUGUGUACAGCUCUGCUAUCAUAAGUAUAAAAUUUUAUUCACUACAUCUUAUGACAUACAUUUUGUAAGAUAAGAAAAUACAAUCUUCUUUUAAAUAUGAUAAGUGGGACCUAAAGACAACAUUAUGUCAAUGUAUCUCAGUUGAAUAAUCAAAGCUCUUAGCAAAAACACUAGGCUGGACAAUGGCUUUAAAACCAUUCUGUUUUCUGACCAGUUGUCUCCAAUAUCCACAGGAAUGCUCUGCCACAUAAGUGAACUGUUUCUGCAUUCCACACACUCUCUUUCAUUGUCUUCUGCCAAGUUUUGUCAAUUUAUGGUUGCAAGAGCAUUAAAACAGCUCAAUGUCUUUAUUACCAUAGCCAUGUCAUAAGAAAGACAAGGUACACAGUGCUAUAUUAUUGAUUUUGCUUGGCAGUGUUUACACAGUGUAAAGGCCUUUUCUGUUUCUCGCAUUGCCUCACCAGCUAACAGUCCGAGUGUGCACAAGAAAUGAAAAGGGGACACAGACAGGACAGCUGACCCAAAAUGAUCAAAGGGAUAUCUCAUGCCAUAGAAGAUUGUGUUCAGCAAUAAUAGCUGGGCAAAGAAGGAGGAAUGCAGACGUUUGUAGUUACACUGUUUGUCUUCCCAAGUAUCCUGCUUUCCAGGAAAGGGGAUAAACAUCUGCUUACUGAUGAGAAGUAACAAAUUAUUUCCUUAUUUUGAUUUGCUUACACAUGCAGCUUUUGCUUUGCUUAUUAAAAUGUCUUUAUCUCAUCCCAAGAGUUCUCCCAUCUUUUCUUUUUUUUUUUUUAAUUUGUGAUUAGGUGACUUCUCAACUAGAUGAUGUUUUUUCAGGCUUUUGAGAAGGAAUAGUAGGUCAAAGACGAUGACAUAUCAGGGACCAAAGCAAUGGGCGGUCUAAAUAGCAAAGAUUCCAGGACAGAAAGUUUAAUACGGGAUAUUAAAUGUCUACAUUGAAAGAAUUUGUUUUAAUGUCCUCCUGUAAUAGUAACAAAUUAAGAAAAAGAUUAUUCAUAUGUAAUACAUUAUGUAGUGUUUAUUAUUAAAAUUAAUUUGUCUGAAAAAAACAAACAAACAAAAAACACCUGGAGAUAGUCUUUGAAGUAUAAAGACUUACUUGCUGUUGUAAUGUUUAUGUCUUGGCUAAGAGUGAAACUCAAGAAUAAAAGGCUAGAUAGAACUCCUUAAUAAUCUACAGUCUACCCACUGUAUUCAAUUUUUAUUGUUCAAAGUUAUUCUUCUCUUUAUCUGAUUAAAUUAUUUGUAUUUAAUUUGAAAAGUUUGAUGGUGCUACACUCCACUGUGUAGUCAUAAAAAUUACUUCUUUGAUAAACUGGUAUUUGAAGACAUGUCAGAAGCACGUUAUUUGUUUAGACUGAUUUCUUUUGUGAAUGUAUGAGUGAAUGUAAGAGAUCAAAAGCAUCCUGGGUCUAACGUGAUGCUCCAAAUAACUACCACAAAGUUACGGCAUAAAAAGACAUUACACUGACAUUAAACACUGACAUUAAAAGACAUUAUACAAGUACCUUCAUCAGUAAUCUCAUUCGUGGUAACUGAAAUAGAGAUACAUAACUGGCAAGAAAUUAUCAGUAACCUCAAAAAGUUCUCUUUUCACAAUUCAUGCAAUUAAUCAAUUGAAAAAAUUAACAAAUACCUAACCUCUGAAACAAUCCUAUUAUUUUCUCUGUAGUGUUCUUCAGUGGUACUCAGUAAAAAAUAUGCAUGCAUUUAAAUUGACUUACAUUGUUUAAAAUAAUUUCACUUAAAAGAUGAUCAAACUGAUUUCCAAAGAUUUUUGUCUUCAUAUUUUCUAUAAGUUGCUUUUUUUUCAGUAAAGACUUAAAAAAACAAACAAACAAACAAAACAAAACAAAACAAACAAAAAAAAUCUUCUUAGGCAAUGAUACAGUGUCACCUAUACUAAUUUCACCUUUUACCUCUUAUAAGUCAAAGCAUUAAGAAAGACUUACUAGCAUAAACUCUCAAAGAAAGAUGUUCUCAAUAAUAGGAGUUUGAGGUUUGUUUUGUUUUGUUUUGUUUUCUGAAAAAUCCUACUAACUAACAAUUCCAUUCAAACAGAAAAUUAUAACCUUAAAAUUAUAUAUUUCUUGAAUGAACAAACAGGAUUACAGGGCAAACAAGUUUUUGAAACUUCAGUCAUGAUUAAGAGCUGAAAAAUGUUUGGACUCUACUUUGGACUCUCCCUUCCUAAAUGGCAAUAUAUGCCACUGCUCAAUACUCGGUGCUCAAGUCUCUCUAGAGGGCCAUCAGCUUCUCCUUUUUCUGUUUUGUGUGCCAUUUAAAUUACUGCCAUUGUUAGAACCUGUUUCAAAAUCAACUUUGUCAAUCAUCCUCAGUUUGUAGAAAUACACAUAGAGAUGAAAAUCUUCUUCUCAAUAGGAUCAAAUAAAUCUUUAAUACUUGGAAGAGAAGCAGGCACAUAUAAAUGUUUAUUGCACCUUAUUAGCUUAUUUUUUGCAAGGUGGGAAAAACAGGAUAUUUGUUUUUCCAUGUUCCUUUGCUGAACAUUUGAGCUGUCUUUUUUGUGAGAAAAUUUACUUCUGUACAUAGGGACAGAUUACUGUUACAAUAGGACUUGCAUCCCACUAACAAAUCCAAAAUUGCGGAAGAGGUGUUCUGCACAUGGGUAAAUUUCACCUGAACAAAUAUCCCCAUUCUAUUGCAUUUCAGUUUUACUCAAUAGAGUAAAGCAGAACCAAAUAUGUAGCCUUCAUGUUUUUCUGAAGCUCACAAUUUUCUACAAUUAAUAUGGCAAUAUGCCUUUUUCCUCAGUCUUCCUGAACUGUUUACAGGGUUGUGUUGGUUUUGUUAAAAACAAGGUCAGUUGUCUUUUAGUGAUUUUUGCUUUUAGCUAAGUUCUUCUAGGUGGCUGUACUUUUCUGAGUUUUUGCCUGCGUAUUUUUCCUUGGAUACUGUACUCGGUGCUGAUAAAAUGACCAACGGAAUGCUGAAGAAGCUCAUGUUUAGAUUUAUUACUAUGGUAGCCAAGAAAGACUGAUAAGAUUUCCCACAUUCCGUCAUGAGAGGGUCAUGUUUGAGGAGGGGCAGACAGAACAGGUGACUAAAACUGACCAACUGAGUAUUCCAUUCCAUAAUCAUCAUACCCCCUAUAUAAGAGGGUGAUCACAAGGGUCUGUCUCUCUUUGACCAUGGCCGGCAUCUAGAGAGGACCUUGUCUGUCUGCCUGAGAUCUGGAAGUCCUCAGGCCCUGCAUCCCUGAAAUCCAGUUUCUGGUUUGCUGUAAAGUCCCGCCCAUGACUUCCGGGUGCCUGCCCUACAGCUGCUGGAGCCGCCAGCUCCGCACACCCAGCUCCGCUGCUGCUGGAGUGAUGCCAACUCCACAUCGAGCACUCAAGAUUGGUUUUGUAUAUUUUGUAUAUAUUCUCUAUUUAUUAGUAGCAUUAGUAAAAGCCUUUAAAACCUUCCAACUUGAAGUUGAAGUCUCUCUUCCUUCCUCCUUAUCUUCCUAUCAUCUUUCCGAUCUAAAGGAAGGGGUGGCGGGAGGUAAGGGGGUAACAGAGAGCGUCUGCCACAGCUUAUUGUUGCCUUGCCUUAAACUUUGGCAGGUUGUCAGUACAAAGAGCUUCACAAUAACACCAAAUUUUUAGUGUGACUAUAUAGUGGUAAAAACUAAAAGAUGACACAAUCUGGUGCAGUAGUUUACAAGAAAACUUACUCCAAAUAUAGAAUUUCAAUUAAAAUAGGUGCAAAAUAGGAGACACAAGUGACCAUGUUGACAAACUCUGGUUAAGUGGUAAAGUGGAGGGAGAUGCAGACUGAAAAGCUUAGGAACACCAGUGCUACUGUAUGUCGCAAAAAUUUAUAGCAAGAUCUCAUCACUACCAUCAUUAAAGGCUGCUUGAAAGGUCAAGUAGCACUAAAAUGGUGUAAGGGCCAUGAUCAGUAAUUAGGAAGAAGCCAUCAAUAUCUUUUGCCUGAAGACUUUUCAGAACCAAAUGGGACCAGAUGAAAUCAGACAAGAAUGUAUCAUACAAAAUGGCUUAAUUGUAAUUAGUAAAUAGUCUACAGAUGGAAUAAGUAUUUGCUUGAUCUCUCCCUUGCCUCCUAAUGUGCUAUGAAGAAACAAUUAGGACUCAAAUGGAUAAUGGAAUAAUAUUAAUCAACAAAAUAUUUUAAAGCAUUUACAAUCAUCUUUUUUCAGUUGUUUGUUUGUUUGUUUUUUUUUUCGGUUAGUUUUAUCUACAGGAUAAAAUUUAAAAGAUACAUUUUCUACAUGAAUCCUGAACAAUCAGGACUGGUUAAACAGAGUGGUAUCAUUUGCAUUAAGUGCAACAUAUAUUAGGAUGUCAAUGUUUUUCUGAGUCAAAAAUAAUUGUAAUCCUUCCUAGGCAAACUCACCGCCAUAUUAUUGACAAUAUUAUAUAUUCUUUACAUAUGACCUUGCUAUAUCAUUAGAACUCUCAGUAUGCAAUUAGGUGUAAAUGGGUGUCUGAGAAAGGAGGUAUAAUUUUUGAUGGUACUUUGAGAAUAAGACAGAAACACAAAUCUCAUUUGCAAAAGUGUUUUGGAAAUAUCUUAUUGUAGAUAAAUACACUUAGUCUUUAUGGAGACAGUCAGUGGUAAUGGGGUGCUUGAACCUCAAAGGUUCUUGGAUCUACAUAUUAAGAUUAUUUUUGAAAGAGAACUUGAUAGACUAAGAUGUAUGCAUGAUUUCUAAAAAAAAAAUUUAAAAAGUUGUUAUUCUUGCUGUGUACCUGUAGAUUACUACUGAAACACUGUCAAAUCACUCCAUCUGGUCAUGACCAACUUCACAGUUCUUUAUUCUCAUUUCUAUGUGUCCCAGUCAUGAAAGCUAUGUAUAAGCAGCUGAAAUUGCUGGCAAAAUAAAAUGAUGCAGUGUAGCUUGCAAAGGUCAAUCUAUGUUGAUUCCUGAACACAGACUCUAUGUUCCAAACAUAUGCUCAUUUUCUAACUUGAUGUGUUCAUGUACAAACUCUUCCACACAUCUAUAGGCAGUCCAGCAAAAGAACACAUUUAUUCAGAAAACAUUUUUUUUAACAUUGUAUAUUACAUGUUUUAUGGAUAGUGAUGUUAUCUCCUCUCACCAUACUAACAUGCUCUUUUGCUCCCCAAAACACCACCUUUUUCUUCACAGCAGCUUAAAUGACAGCCAUAACUGGGUAAAACUCUGAUUUAUUGUUCUAAGCCUGAAAUCAGCUGAUCUGUUUCACAUCUGAAGGAAUUAAGUGUCCCAAAUCUCAUUUUUAAAAUCUAUAUUAUUGAAUCUAUCUAUUUUUAAAAAUAUAUACAUACAAACCAUGCCUUAAGGACACCCUUAGCUUAUGAAUUUGACACUAGUACUACUGCUUCCUCUUAGACACAGAGGUGUUUCAUGGCGGCUCCUGCACAUAGUAUAGGUUCCUGAAUAACUGAGCUGCCUAAGGAUAAAACAACAAAUAUGAUUAUAGUUUUGCAUUAUGUCAUUCUUUUAGCAAUGAAAUAAGAUAGAGUAUUUAUCUUGAAAAAUCAUUGCAUUAUCUUGAGUUUUUAGCAGAUGUUUAAAGGAUUUGCUACUAGAGAACAAAGAAGGGAUCUGUAAGUGAUACUGAGGAAUUUGAGGCAAAGAUUAAUGACCACUUUUUUUUUUAGUAAAUACGUUAUUUGUGUUCCUGUACAAAAGGGUAAAAGAUGCAAAUUAUGACCUCCUAGAAAGAAAACAGGUCUAUCAGUGACCAUCUGAGCUAAUCUUCCGUAUAAACAGUGAUAAAAAAUGAAGACCAAAGCCUUAGUUUUAUAUUAUUUUUAAAAAGCCAUUGGUUGCCGAGAUACUUCUGACACAACUCAGACAAAAACCCCACAUGUUGUCUGUUGUAUGGAGUCAUCUGUAGUUUGUCAUUUAUAGCCUCAAAUUCUUUCCUGAUGAAGACAGAGUUAAAAAAUUAGGUCAUGAUUUAGGAAAGAUGCUUUGAUUUAAAAUAUCAUGCAUGAUGGAGAAAAACUUGUUUCCUUUGAGAGCAAUUACUAUCAGAAUGAUAUCUAAGGAUGACCUUCCAAAACAUGCAGCUGUUAUCCAUCUGAAACAUGUAUCAAAUUAAACAUGUUCCCUUUUCCUGUCUGUAAAACAUGUAUUAUGAAGCAUUAUAUCAUUGAUAUGUAAUGAAAAAAAAACUUCUGCCGUCGCUGAACAUCUGGAACUGCACUGAUGAUGAAGUGCAGCUGUUGCCUUUUAUGUGAACUGUGAUGCACAACUACACAGAGGCAUUUGCUUCAAACCCCUUUACUUAUGAAAUAAUGUGGUUCAGGAACGUGAAUUUUUACUUCAUCCUAUACACAGUGUUCAGAAUGCUGUCAAACACACUCAAAGAUAUACAGACAGUAUUUCUAAGGUAAGUUUGCAAAGUAAGAAGUCCUAUCUCUUUUAAGAUUCACUGAGAACAGUUUAUCUUAAAUUGUUAUGAAUUAUUGAGAAAUUCAGUCACAGAAUCUUGCAAAUCUGGAGCUGAAUUCAACAUUAAUAAAUAAUUGGCAUGGAUAAUAAUAAAUAAAUAAUAAAUGGAUCAAAUACUUGGGUAUAUUAUUUGUACCAUUAUUAACCCUUGUUACUGUUCUUUAAAGCACCUUUUAUUUAACUCUGUCCUUGUCCAAUUUUCUUUUCUUGUGACAGAACAGGCUGAAAUGCAAAGUGAAAAUUUUGUCUAUAUUUUGUAUUGCUUUUCUCUUAUGCAUAAUAUUUAAAUUAAAAUUAAAAAAAAAAAAUCUGUAGACAAAAAUAUUGUUUUAGUAAAGCUCACCUUUUUCUUCAAUCUGGUCAAUCUUCCAAAUGCCACUUGUGUGUAAUUUUUAUAAUGCCUUUGAAUAGCAGACAAAUAAUCACACUCUAGUUUCACAGAGUAUGUCCUUAUCUAAACAGUUUUCUCUUUCACUUUUGAGCAUAUCCUUAUCAAGCUUCCAGGGAGUUUAUUAAUGUCUAUAGUUUAUCCCACCAUACACUCUUGGCCUUUAGAUGAUAAAUCAAUGAAAUUCAGUAAUGCUUCCUCAGAGCGCAAUCAACAUAGUACCUGUUACUUUUCUAAGUAAUCUGUAGAAAGAUGUAUACUUUAAAUGAAUAUCAAAAUUCUUCAUUCUAUUUUUUUUUUUUUUUAAGGAACAACAAAGAGCCCAAGAGAAUAUUUAAUUUCCUGACACAGAGAAUAGUUUACGUUUCUUGAUUUAAAAGGUGAAUUGUUAUGUAGUUUGCUCAUUUAGAAAAGCAAGUUGUUGCCUCUUGUAGACAGAGAAGUCCAGACAGGCACAGGGUCCUACGACUGGGCAGAGCAGAACUGCACUAGACCAUCUCCCCUCCAGUACCAUCAUCAUUAAUAACUCUUAGGUAUUCUUCCCACAUAAUUACAGGCAUCAUACGAGAAGCACAGUUAUUCUAACUCCCUAUACAGUCAACUGAGAAAGCUAGCAAAUUAAAGGAGAUAAUUCAAUCCUUCCAUGGCAUAAAUUGCUCUUUGUCCCUAUUUUUUGCGGGUUGUCUUUUGAGUUCAGUUGAAUGAUUAACAGUAAGUGGGAUGAAGAUGGUCAUGAGGCUUCAGGGCGUAGUGGGCUGACACAUUAACAGGGACAUUUCCUUAGCUCUUAUAAUGAUUCAACCCUUUUUGCUGCAUUACUGGUUUGAAGUAUCUGGAACAGACUACAGAAUUUGAGUCUACACAUCCAAAUAUCAACAAUAAAGAGACUUAAUUGAAUAAUAUUUAAAAAUAAAAAAUCCAAAUAAUCUUCUGUUGUAUUGGCUAAUAUCAGAGAAGUAAAAUAUUAUAGCAAGAUCUUGCUAUAAUCUCCCAGGAAGUGCAACCUGUGAAGGAGUUAUAAAUGAAAAGAUGUUUUUUAAAACUAUGUUUCCCCACAGUAUGACAUCAGUCUUCCAAAACUGAACCAGGAUAGCAAAACAUCGGGAGACUUCCACAGAUAUAUUAACCAACCUAUGGAUUUUCUGUUAAAGCUUGGUUUAACAGCAGUAAGAAAGGAGAAAGGAUCAAGCUUAUUUUCUGUAAAGAAAUGAACUGGAAGGUGACCGCGCUAUAAUAUAAAAAGAUUAGCCUCAUUUUUCACUGUCUUGAAUUUUGUACAGAUUUUUACAUGUGUAAAAUACUAAAAAUACUAUUAAUUCACAUAGUGACAAUUCUACAGUAACUCUUUGCCCUUUUUCAGUGAAAUUGCAUAGCCCUAUUUGAAAGCCCUGAUGGAGUCACUAGGACAGUGUCUUGGAUCCUUCCCUCCAAUCCUCAACCCACACUUUCAGAGUAAUUCUACGUGAGCAUAACUGUAAAUAGAGUUAUCUCAGUCUUUAUAGUGAAGUGCCAUAGCUGUGUAUUACUCCUAAUAUCCUAAAAGCCAAUACAUUAGCAAUGAUAAGUAGAUAUGGUUAUACCAAUGGCAAAUGAUUUUCCAAAUUCAAUUGGUAUUUCAACAUAAAAACCUCUAAAAACCCUAAAAUCCAGAAUUAAAUUUUAAAGUACUUAAAUUUCUUCUGUACUCUUGGCUUUAUUUAGCAUUUGGUAAUGAGUUGCACAGACCAAGCACUUUAUUUCCUUUCUGCCCCUUCAGUAAAUCAAAAAAUUUGUGUUUGGAGAAGCUUUUAAUGUUCUGCAUUCAUUGAUAAUAAAAGAAAUCUGAGAGGUGAAUUUUCUUCAUUCUUAAUAUACUUGCUACUAGAAUGCUAUGAUUAUUUUUGCAUACUGUCAUGGACAGAUAAUAUACAGAGGCAUUUUUUAGUCACAGCUUUUCAUUUUGUAUUUUGAGUCUAUCCAGUUUAAAGUUACAAACCUGUGGGACUCCUUGAUUUUAAUUAGAUUGCUGAAGAAAUAAAUGAAAAUUUUAGUGUUCAUAAAAUAUAGGUUUGCUGUGGACUGUUCCCAAAGCUUAUAAACAAGGAACAUCCUUAAAUCAAAUUUGGACAUACCAACAAUGACAGCAUUUACACUUCCCAGAAUUCUUUUGGCACUUUUGUGAUAUGAGUCAUUAUAAUCUCUCACUAUGCCAGAAUACCAACCUUUUAGUCUUUGGGAUGAAGGAAAACAAUUGCAGCGUGUGUGAUAGGCCGUAUGAACAGCCAUACCUCCAAGACUUUUAUCACCCAUUUGAAGCCUGAGGAAACUACACUUAUCAGAAACCGUAUCUAUAACAUUUCUAUAAAUAUAUACAGUAUAUUUUAUAAUGACAGUAAAAUGAAUGAAGGAAAAUUUGAAACUGAAGCCAAGAAUCCAGUCUAAUUUUUUUCUCUAAGCUUCAGGGUAGUGGCACAGGUGACGAGACUGUAGAAGUAUAGUGAGUGUACUGUUAAAAGCUGUACUAGAGCCGAUGGGAUAAAUAGCAUUUGUAUUACUCUUUCAAUAUGUAUGCAUUAUUUUUCUGUGAGCAUUCAGUAGCAGUUUUUUUUUCUUUUUUUUUUAAUAUAGAAAUUCCAAAAACUAACAAAGAGUUCUUAAAAAGGCAAAGACAUGUUAUUUCUGUUAUUUCUCCAUCUUUAUGGAAUGAAAUGCAUCCUUUACAUGUGCUUCUGGAAUUUCAGAAACUUCCAGAAUAUCACCUGUAUGCUGGCAAAUUGUGGAGAUGAGCCCAGUACCACUAUUAUUAAUGUUACCAAUAAUGAAGAAAUGCAUGCACACUAACUCCUGGAGAGAGUAAAAAUAAACAAACUCUUCUGAAAACAUCUAUACCUCUGCAUCAUACCACUUUCUUUACUAUGUUUAGAAUUAUGAGUCAUAACUGUCCUAAAAUUGAUACAAAAUUAUACAAUUGUGAUUGUAAAAUAUUGCAUUUCUGUGCGCAUCAGAACAUAGUGUUUGAACUUAUCCUAAAUUUUGCCUUCAGCAUUUAAUCACAUAUCUUUAGAUACAUGUGACGAAGUUUGCAGCUAGUAUACUUACACAGGCUUGAAAAAUAUCAAAAUUUUCAGUGGCAAAAAGCCCUAGAAAACUGCAAAACAACAUUGAAGGGAAUUCAUUAACUAAAUUAAAGAUCAAAUAGUAGUCUCAAUUAGUAGAAUCCCCUCUUGCAAAUCCACUGUCAGUUGUGCUAGAAGGUUGCUGCCAAGAAGUCCCUCAUUAUAAAGAUAAGAUUUUGGGGGUAUGAGAUCUACAAGUCCUCAGAUAUGAUGUUAAGCACAUACACUUAUGUGUAGGACAGAUUUAAAAGAUGUCAGAUAUUUACAACAGCUGAUUGCUGACACUGGUAUACUCAAUAAACUGUAUCUAUUGCAAUCCAUGCCUUUUUGGAUGCUUUUUCAGGGGCAUGAUUGCAUAAAUUUAUGAUUGCGUUAAUAUUUGCCUUUUUUGUUUAUGCUGCUAAUAGGUUAUUCCCAAGAAAAAGAUGAGUUGAACAUGCAGAAAAUAGCCUGGAAUUCAGACUUUAAUAAUACCUGAUGUUUGCAUGCUGGGGAAGGGUGUUACUCUCUGACUCUCACAACACUGAGUACCCUCAGUGGCCAGUAAGAAAUACAUGGGUUGAAGCCAUCUCAAACCCAUCGCUCUCUUCAAAAUUAUUUUGCUAGUUAUCUAGUUUUCAUACCCUAUCUUUCACUGAAUCACAAAUUCACUCCCUCCAUGCUGGUCUGACUGCCUUUGGGAAAUAUUCAUGCUCUUUCAAUGAACUCAGGCAGAAACAUUUACUCCACCAGUUGAUCCACUCAGCUGUUGAUAGGCGUUUAAGGACAUGCUCCAGUCCCUUUUGUGAUGAAAUAAGGUCAUCUUCUUUGCAACAGCUGUGAUGAGACACCAUGCGUUACUCCCUGACUUUCAUGGGCACAUCAUCCUUGUCCAUCUCCUCUGAGCUUUCUUCCAUUUAAGACAUUUAUUCAAUGAGUCACAUUCCACCACCAGGAGUUUAGUUAGUCACAAAGAUGGACGGCAAUAGUGUUUACAUAUGCACCUACCAAAAAAUUAAAUAAACUAUCACAUUUUUAAUCAAAGUUUUGGGGAAAUACGAAAUUGUGUCUCUAAAUAAAUACUGCAAAUGAAAAUCUCAUUAAUCUGUACCUACAAGGACUAACCAAUAUGAAAUACAAAACCCACUUUAAAAUAUUUUGGAAGACUUUAAAAUAAUUCAGUGGGCUCCUAACAAUUUCUUCAUUGAAGUAUUAAUAAAGAAAAUAAAGCAAAGCCAUUGCAAAAUGUAUGU
Molecule: long non-coding RNA, 15976 nt
Organism: Columba livia (rock pigeon)
Lineage: Eukaryota; Metazoa; Chordata; Aves; Columbiformes; Columbidae
Exons: 3
Source: RefSeq, a predicted model, not a curated record